GGGUUGUGAGGUUAAGCGACUAAGCGUACACGGUGGAUGCCCUGGCAGUCAGAGGCGAUGAAGGACGUGCUAAUCUGCGAAAAGCGUCGGUAAGGUGAUAUGAACCGUUAUAACCGGCGAUGUCCGAAUGGGGAAACCCAGUGCAAUUCGUUGCACUAUCGUUAACUGAAUACAUAGGUUAACGAGGCGAACCGGGGGAACUGAAACAUCUAAGUACCCCGAGGAAAAGAAAUCAACCGAGAUUCCCCCAGUAGCGGCGAGCGAACGGGGAGCAGCCCAGAGUCUGAAUCAGCUUGUGUGUUAGUGGAACGGUCUGGAAAGUCCGACGGUACAGGGUGAUAGUCCCGUACACCAAAAUGCACAGGCUGUGAACUCGAAGAGUAGGGCGGGACACGUGGUAUCCUGUCUGAAUAUGGGGGGACCAUCCUCCAAGGCUAAAUACUCCUGACUGACCGAUAGUGAACCAGUACCGUGAGGGAAAGGCGAAAAGAACCCCGGCGAGGGGAGUGAAAAAGAACCUGAAACCGUGUACGUACAAGCAGUGGGAGCACCUUCGGGUGUGACUGCGUACCUUUUGUAUAAUGGGUCAGCGACUUAUAUUCUGUAGCAAGGUUAACCGUAUAGGGGAGCCGCAGGGAAACCGAGUCUUAACUGGGCGUUAAGUUGCAGGGUAUAGACCCGAAACCCGGUGAUCUAGCCAUGGGCAGGUUGAAGGUUGGGUAACACUAACUGGAGGACCGAACCGACUAAUGUUGAAAAAUUAGCGGAUGACUUGUGGCUGGGGGUGAAAGGCCAAUCAAACCGGGAGAUAGCUGGUUCUCCCCGAAAGCUAUUUAGGUAGCGCCUCGUGAACUCAUCUUCGGGGGUAGAGCACUGUUUCGGCUAGGGGGUCAUCCCGACUUACCAACCCGAUGCAAACUACGAAUACCGAAGAAUGUUAUCACGGGAGACACACGGCGGGUGCUAACGUCCGUCGUGAAGAGGGAAACAACCCAGACCGCCAGCUAAGGUCCCAAAGUCAUGGUUAAGUGGGAAACGAUGUGGGAAGGCACAGACAGCCAGGAUGUUGGCUUAGAAGCAGCCAUCAUUUAAAGAAAGCGUAAUAGCUCACUGGUCGAGUCGGCCUGCGCGGAAGAUGUAACGGGGCUAAACCAUGCACCGAAGCUGCGGCAGCGACACUAUGUGUUGUUGGGUAGGGGAGCGUUCUGUAAGCCUGCGAAGGUGACCUGUGAGGGUUGCUGGAGGUAUCAGAAGUGCGAAUGCUGACAUAAGUAACGAUAAAGCGGGUGAAAAGCCCGCUCGCCGGAAGACCAAGGGUUCCUGUCCAACGUUAAUCGGGGCAGGGUGAGUCGACCCCUAAGGCGAGGCCGAAAGGCGUAGUCGAUGGGAAACAGGUUAAUAUUCCUGUACUUGGUGUUACUGCGAAGGGGGGACGGAGAAGGCUAUGUUAGCCGGGCGACGGUUGUCCCGGUUUAAGCAUGUAGGCUGGUUGUCCAGGCAAAUCCGGAUAAUCAAGGCUGAGGUGUGAUGACGAGGCACUACGGUGCUGAAGUAACAAAUGCCCUGCUUCCAGGAAAAGCCUCUAAGCAUCAGGUAACAUCAAAUCGUACCCCAAACCGACACAGGUGGUCAGGUAGAGAAUACCAAGGCGCUUGAGAGAACUCGGGUGAAGGAACUAGGCAAAAUGGUGCCGUAACUUCGGGAGAAGGCACGCUGGUGUGUAGGUGAAGCCCCUGCGGGUGGAGCUGAGACCAGUCGAAGAUACCAGCUGGCUGCAACUGUUUAUUAAAAACACAGCACUGUGCAAACACGAAAGUGGACGUAUACGGUGUGACGCCUGCCCGGUGCCGGAAGGUUAAUUGAUGGGGUUAUCCGUAAGGAGAAGCUCUUGAUCGAAGCCCCGGUAAACGGCGGCCGUAACUAUAACGGUCCUAAGGUAGCGAAAUUCCUUGUCGGGUAAGUUCCGACCUGCACGAAUGGCGUAAUGAUGGCCAGGCUGUCUCCACCCGAGACUCAGUGAAAUUGAACUCGCUGUGAAGAUGCAGUGUACCCGCGGCAAGACGGAAAGACCCCGUGAACCUUUACUAUAGCUUGACACUGAACAUUGAGCCUUGAUGUGUAGGAUAGGUGGGAGGCUUUGAAGCGUGGACGCCAGUCUGCGUGGAGCCAACCUUGAAAUACCACCCUUUAAUGUUUGAUGUUCUAACGUUGGCCCCUGACCGGGGUUGCGGACAGUGUCUGGUGGGUAGUUUGACUGGGGCGGUCUCCUCCCAAAGCGUAACGGAGGAGCACGAAGGUUAGCUAAUCCUGGUCGGACAUCAGGAGGUUAGUGCAAUGGCAUAAGCUAGCUUGACUGCGAGCGUGACGGCGCGAGCAGGUGCGAAAGCAGGUCAUAGUGAUCCGGUGGUUCUGAAUGGAAGGGCCAUCGCUCAACGGAUAAAAGGUACUCCGGGGAUAACAGGCUGAUACCGCCCAAGAGUUCAUAUCGACGGCGGUGUUUGGCACCUCGAUGUCGGCUCAUCACAUCCUGGGGCUGAAGUAGGUCCCAAGGGUAUGGCUGUUCGCCAUUUAAAGUGGUACGCGAGCUGGGUUUAGAACGUCGUGAGACAGUUCGGUCCCUAUCUGCCGUGGGCGCUGGAGAAUUGAGGGGGGCUGCUCCUAGUACGAGAGGACCGGAGUGGACGCAUCACUGGUGUUCGGGUUGUCAUGCCAAUGGCACUGCCCGGUAGCUAAAUGCGGAAGAGAUAAGUGCUGAAAGCAUCUAAGCACGAAACUUGCCCCGAGAUGAGUUCUCCCUGAGACUUUAAGUCUCCUGAAGGAACGUUGAAGACGACGACGUUGAUAGGCCGGGUGUGUAAGCGCAGCGAUGUGUUGAGCUAACCGGUACUAAUGAACCGUGAGGCUUAACCUUACAACGCCGAAG
Molecule: ribosomal RNA, 2923 nt
Filed under: Klebsiella pneumoniae
Lineage: Bacteria; Pseudomonadati; Pseudomonadota; Gammaproteobacteria; Enterobacterales; Enterobacteriaceae
Description: bacterial LSU rRNA
Rfam family: Bacterial large subunit ribosomal RNA
Source: RNAcentral